GCGGAUCCGAGCGGAAUGCAGCGGCCCGAGGCCUGGCCACGUCCGCACCCAGGGGAGGGGGCCGCCGCGGAGGUAGCGGCGGCGGCCCGGGGGGGAACGGCGCCGGGCGCUGGGGCCACGGAACCCCCGGGGCUGCGGUUGCAGGAACCAUCUCUCUACACUGUCAAAGCAGUUUUCAUCCUGGAUAAUGAUGGACAACGGCUUCUGGCCAAGUACUAUGAUGAUACAUUCCCCUCCAUAAAGGAGCAGAAAGCCUUUGAGAAAAAUGUCUUCAACAAGACUAAUAGAACUGACAGUGAGAUUGCCUUUUUUGGAGGUAUGACCAUUGUCUACAAGAGCAGCAUUGACCUUUUCCUGUAUGUCGUGGGCUCAUCCCAGGAAAAUGAGCUGAUGCUUAUGUCAGUCCUUACCUGCCUGUUUGAUUCCCUGAACCACGUGUUACGGAGGAACAUAGAGAAACGCUCAUUGGUGGAGAACAUGGAUGGAGCCUUCCUGGUGGUGGAUGAGAUCGUGGAUGGCGGUGUGAUUCUGGAGAAUGAUCCUCAGCAGGUGAUUCAGAAAGUGAACUUCCGGGUGGAGGACAGCGGCCUGUCUGAGCAGAGUGUGGCCCAGGUCCUUCUACCCAGACUAAUCCUGCCUGCAUGAAGCCUGCUCCAGUCACGCACUAACACCUUACCCCCCUCGGCAGUAACUGAGGCCGGAAGACACGCUGCUGCUCCUUCUGUCUCUUGCUGGGCCCCAGGUUCUACAGUCUGCCAAGGAGCAAAUUAAGUGGUCCUUGCUGAAGUAAAAACCACAGGAGCUAAACCCGCCUCUGCUCCAAGGACCAUCUCCUCAGUGCUGUGAACCGCUGAGGACCCAGAAGGACAAGAGUCCCUCCCUCUUGCUCUCCGCAGGCCUCCUCCUCAUACUAAUUCAGAAGCCGGAGUUCCCGAUCUCUGACACAGUGACCAGAAGGGACCCUGUCAUUGCUCUCCAGCAAGGAUCCAUUUUACUUUUAGACCAUUUUCAUGUUGGAGUCAGUCAUUCCCUACCCCUGCCUGCUCCCAAGGCAACCAACUGAUCUGCCUCCUUCAUAUGGGACUCUUGUCUCUGAGGACUGCAAUAAAACAAGUUUUUCUCCUUU
Molecule: RNA transcript, 1126 nt
Organism: Antechinus flavipes (yellow-footed antechinus)
Lineage: Eukaryota; Metazoa; Chordata; Mammalia; Dasyuromorphia; Dasyuridae
Gene: COPZ2
Gene name: COPI coat complex subunit zeta 2
Exons: 10
Source: RefSeq, a predicted model, not a curated record